Molecule: ribosomal RNA, 465 nt
Filed under: uncultured bacterium
Lineage: Bacteria
Description: partial 16S ribosomal RNA
Rfam family: Bacterial small subunit ribosomal RNA
Source: RNAcentral
GACGAACGCUGGCGGCGUGCUUAACACAUGCAAGUCGAACGGAAAGGCUCUGCUUUCAUGUUGCGCGGGGGGCGAACGGGUGAGUGAGAGGUAGGCGUUCUGCCCUUCACCUCCGGAUAUGGCUGGGCAACUGGAAGGAUGGCCGGAUAGGGGCGAUCUUUAGUGUGAGGGUUGGAGGGUUUUUUCGGUGUAGGAUGAGCUUGCGGCCUAUCAGCGUGUUGGUGGGGUAAUGGCCUACCAAGGCGGCGGCGGGUAGCCGGCCUGAGAGGGUGGACGGCCACAUUGGGACUGAGAUACGGCCCAGACGCCGACGGGAGGCCGCAGUGGGGAAUAUUGCGCAAUGGGGGCGAGCCUGAUGCAGCGACGCCGCGUGGGGGAUGACGGCCUUCGGGUUGUAAACUCCGUUCGCUAGGGACGAAGCUUUUUGUGACGGUACCUAGAUAAGAAGCACCGGCUAACUACGUG